AGGAAUGUACCGCUUUGGCAGUGCAGUACUAGCUGGCUGUUUUGGAUACCUGUUGUUUUACAGCUGCUGGUUGCACUCCAUACUGUUGCAUUCCCA
Molecule: non-coding RNA, 96 nt
Organism: Podarcis lilfordi (Lilford's wall lizard)
Lineage: Eukaryota; Metazoa; Chordata; Lepidosauria; Squamata; Lacertidae
Source: the annotation of a GenBank genome assembly